Bombyx mori (domestic silkworm) is the source of this 67-nucleotide non-coding RNA. The record is from Rfam. Lineage: Eukaryota; Metazoa; Arthropoda; Insecta; Lepidoptera; Bombycidae.
AAAAAAAAAAGACCGUCGGUCUACCGAGCAAUAUCACCCGCUCGGUGGAAGAUCUUCUCUUCGUUGU